AUGUCUUGCAACUGUGGAUCCGGUUGCAGCUGCGGCUCAGACUGCAAGUGCGGGAAGAUGUACCCUGAUCUGACGGAGCAGGGCAGCGCCGCCGCCCAGGUCGCCGCCGUGGUCGUCCUCGGCGUGGCGCCUGAGAACAAGGCGGGGCAGUUCGAGGUGGCCGCCGGGCAGUCCGGCGAGGGCUGCAGCUGCGGCGACAACUGCAAGUGCAACCCCUGCAACUGUUAA
This 228-nucleotide ribosomal RNA is filed under the name Triticum aestivum (bread wheat). RNAcentral describes it as "partial small subunit ribosomal RNA". The record is from RNAcentral. Lineage: Eukaryota; Viridiplantae; Streptophyta; Magnoliopsida; Poales; Poaceae.